GAUGAACGCUAGCGGCAGGCUUAACACAUGCAAGUCGAGGGGUAUAGGUUUUCGGACCUAGAGACCGGCGCACGGGUGCGUAACGCGUAUGCAAUCUACCUUUUGCAGAGGGAUAGCCCAGAGAAAUUUGGAUUAAUACCUCAUAGUAUAACACAAUCGCAUGAUUGAGUUAUUAAAGUCACAACGGCAAAAGAUGAGCAUGCGUCCCAUUAGCUAGAUGGUAAGGUAACGGCUUACCAUGGCUGCGAUGGGUAGGGGUCCUGAGAGGGGGAGCCCCCACGCUGGUACUGAGACACGGGCCAGACUCCUACGGGAGGCAGCAGUGAGGAAUAUUGGUCAAUGGACGCAAGUCUGAACCAGCCAUGCCGCGUGCAGGAUGACGGUCCUAUGGAUUGUAAACUGCUUUUGUACAGGAAGAAACACUCCUUCGUGAAGGAACUUGACGGUACUGUAAGAAUAAGGAUCGGCUAACUCCGUGCCAGCAGCCGCGGUAA
Molecule: ribosomal RNA, 494 nt
Filed under: uncultured bacterium
Lineage: Bacteria
Description: partial 16S ribosomal RNA
Rfam family: Bacterial small subunit ribosomal RNA
Source: RNAcentral